GAUGAACGCUGGCGGCGUGCUUAACACAUGCAAGUCGAACGGUGAAGGCGGAGCUUGCUCUGCUGGAUCAGUGGCGAACGGGUGAGUAACACGUGAGUAAUCUGCCCCUGACUCUGGGAUAAGCGCUGGAAACUGCGUCUAAUACUGGAUACGAGCUGCGAAGGCAUCUUCAGCAGCUGGAAAGAAUUUCGGUCAGGGAUGAGCUCGCGGCCUAUCAGCUUGUUGGUGGGGUAAUGGCUCACCAAGGCUUCGACGGGUAGCCGGCCUGAGAGGGUGACCGGCCACACUGGGACUGAGACACGGCCCAGACUCCUACGGGAGGCAGCAGUGGGGAAUAUUGCACAAUGGGCGAAAGCCUGAUGCAGCAACGCCGCGUGAGGGACGACGGCCUUCGGGUUGUAAACCUCUUUUAGCAGGGAAGAAGCGAAAGUGACGGUACCUGCAGAAGAAGCGCCGGCUAACUACGUG
RNAcentral lists this ribosomal RNA (468 nucleotides) under uncultured bacterium. RNAcentral describes it as "partial 16S ribosomal RNA". It matches the Rfam family "Bacterial small subunit ribosomal RNA", at positions 28 to 507 of the family's 1533-position model. The record is from RNAcentral.